Molecule: ribosomal RNA, 503 nt
Filed under: uncultured bacterium
Lineage: Bacteria
Description: bacterial SSU rRNA
Rfam family: Bacterial small subunit ribosomal RNA
Source: RNAcentral
AAUCAACGCUGGCGGCGUGCCUCAGACAUGCAAGUCGAACGCGAAAGUUCCCUUCGGGGAGCGAGUAGAGUGGCGCACGGGUGAGUAACACGUAGGUAAUUUACCUUCGGGUGGGGAAUAACAGCCGGAAACGGCUGCUAAUACCGCAUAAUGCAGCGGCUCGACAUCGAGACAGUUGUUAAAGCGGGGGAUCGCAAGACCUCGCGCCUGAAGAGAAGCCUGCGGCAGAUUAGCUAGUUGGUGGGGUAAUGGCUCACCAAGGCGACGAUCUGUAGCCGGCCUGAGAGGGCGGUCGGCCACACUGACACUGACAUACGGGUCAGACUCCUACGGGAGGCAGCAGUCGGGAAUUUUGGGCAAUGGGCGAAAGCCUGACCCAGCAACGCCGCGUGAAGGAUGAAAUCCCUCGGGAUGUAAACUUCGCAAGAAGUGGGAAGAAUAAGGUGGGGGUGAAUAUCCCCAUGAUGACGGUACCAUUUGUAAGCUCCGGCUAACUCCGUGCC